UGGGGAAUAUUGGACAAUGGGCGCAAGCCUGAUCCAGCCAUGCCGCGUGAGUGAUGAAGGCCCUAGGGUUGUAAAGCUCUUUUGUGCGGGAAGAUAAUGACGGUACCGCAAGAAUAAGCCCCGGCUAACUUCGUGCCAGCAGCCGCGGUAAUACGAAGGGGGCUGGCGUUGCUCGGAAUCACUGGGCGUAAAGGGUGCGUAGGCGGGUCUUUAAGUCAGGGGUGAAAUCCUGGAGCUCAACUCCAGAACUGCCUUUGAUACUGAGGAUCUUGAGUUCGGGAGAGGUGAGUGGAACUGCGAGUGUAGAGGUGAAAUUCGUAGAUAUUCGCAAGAACACCAGUGGCGAAGGCGGCUCACUGGCCCGAUACUGACGCUGAGGCACGAAAGCGUGGGGAGCAAACA
RNAcentral lists this ribosomal RNA (402 nucleotides) under uncultured bacterium. Its description in RNAcentral is "bacterial SSU rRNA". It matches the Rfam family "Bacterial small subunit ribosomal RNA", at positions 355 to 774 of the family's 1533-position model. The record is from RNAcentral.